CAGCAUAACCCUACCCAUCUUCUCUGCAGCCCACACCCAUCGCGUUUCCUCCCUGGGCGUCUCCGCUUCUCCGUCGGCGUCUCCGACUCUCUGCCUCGGCGUACUCAUUUUCUCUCUCUAUCUCGCAGCCUCUCCCCUCCCUCGGCGUCUCCGCUUCUCCCUCGGCGUCUCCGACUCUCUGCCUCGGCGUACUCAUCUUCUCUCUCUAUCUCGCAGCCUCCCCGGUUACGGUUGUCCACCAAGGCGCCUUCGGCUCUCUGCCCUCAGCGCUUUCAAGUUCGAAGCUCCUCUCUCAUCACACCUCUGUGGCAAUCCAUCGAACAGGUGGUGUGUUUGAACCGAUUUAUUUAUGGCAGAACCACCCAUGGCAAACAUUGAAUGGCAAACAUUGAAGACUUGUUAGAUAUUCUAAAUUGGAAUGGUUUGGCUGGAUGGGUCGGAGCUAUAUUUAAUUUAGGACUUACAGUUCGUAUAGAACAUCACAUUGAUGAGUGUAGAGCUCAAGGAAUAAUGAAUGGUAAUAUACUUUGUACUAUAUUGCGAAUUGGGGAGGAAUACUUCAACUUGGUCUCCCACUUUUUUCAAAGUAACAAUCCCCAUUCGCUUAAAGUAUAUUAUCUAAGUCGAAGACAGAAUUCUCAUUUUCUGGCCAUUACCGAGAGAAGUGUUAUGUCGUUCAAUGAUUGGAUGAAUGAACAUCCUAUCCUAAUAAACGGCAAUCUUCUUCAUACGGAUAACUUUCUAUAUCCGUUCAGAUCUCUUUUGAAGAGUGUUCUUCAUGUUCUGGAAAUAUAUCCUGAUUUCUUAUUACAUGCGAAUGCUGUAUAUAUUACGGGGAAUCAAAAUGGUGAGCGACAUUUCAAGAUUGCCAUUAUUGAAGGAAGUAAUAGAGUUGCGAGACGUCCACUAUCUUGUGCAAAUGAUUUGGCCAAUUUGGUUAGACACUGGCUUGCUGAACAUAGACAGGGACAGGGACAUCGCGACCUCGAUUUUCUAUUAUACAUGCUAUCCCAUUUAGAUAUAGUUGAAAAAUUAAAAAUGAUCUUAAAAUAUCCCAUUUUCUAUGUGGGCAACCAGAAAGAGUUAUUAUUCCAUUUCGCGAUCAAAGCAGAUUUGCUGUUAGGCCAUGAUAAAAAUAGGAUGGUCAGUGCAUCUCUCGAAUGGGCUUUGCAUAAGAUGGGAGUUACAGCACCUAAUGGACAACGCCUUUAUGCCAAUAGUAUAUGCUGGGAUCGUUCGAGAGCUAUUCCCGAAAUAGUAACUUGUUGGCGGAAAGCACAUGGGCCUAUUAGUUAUGAAGUGCAACAUCUGAUUAUGCAAAUACGAAAUAUAGGAUCACAUAUUUUCGACCGUAUGACUCUUUCUCAAAGAACUGUAACUCACGAAGAGCUCUACGAUAACAUAGAGCUUAUGUGCCCAGGCAGUUGGGCAGCAAUGUUUUACGCAGUUAUGGAAUCGAAUUUAAUGCGACCAUAUUUUGUAUCAGAUGAAGAAAAUCUUUAGGAUCCACUUAUAAGAGGUGGGUUGAAAUGCUGCUGCUGAGUGUGUGUAAUGGAACUGGUUGUUGCUGUUAUUCACAGGGAGUGGGCCCUAUGUUGUUAUUGAUAACAGAUCUAAAUCCAAUAUAGAUGCUAAAGGCACUUCAAGUGAUGAAGAUUCAAAUGAUAGUGAUUCUGAUGACCCAUCAAGAUCCAAUGAUCCUGAUUCUGGCAACAAUGAUGAUUCGUCCACGAACAGACUGAGAAGAUAGGAGACGGUACUCAUCCAUGUUCCACUUUAUUUAUUGCCAAUCUCGGGCCCAACUGUACUGAAGAUGAACUUAGGCAAAUUCUUUCACAGUACCCUGGAUUCAACACCCUGAAGGUUCGUGCAAGAGGUGGAAUGCCAGUUGCUUUUGCUGAUUUUGAGGUACACUACAAGAAAUUCCAGCUUGGGACUAAUAUUCAAUCUUUUUGUAUUGUCUCUGUCCCUCCAGCAAUUGAAGACCAAGACAGGGUGGAGAGCACAACUAAAAGGGAGAGAAGUGGGGAUGAAACCGUGCAUAAGGCCAAGUUCCUCCGUUCUUUAUGAGUGGUGUGUUGUUUGAUGUGGGCAUGGCCAUGCUUGGUGCCUUGGACGACCAUCUUUUUAAUUCAGCUUUAGUUGUGAAUGGCCAGAAGUUUACUUUUUUGGGUUUAUGUACAUAUUCAUAAGCUUUUUUAUUGAACCAUGAAUUUGUAGUUAUAUGCCUUGGCACAGAAAAUUAACUGCCAACUAUUGUUUUGUUUCUACCUUUUACAACACAAGGUAAAUUAUAUGAGGGAUGAAUCUGUUCUGGAGCUUAUGGAAUGCUAAAAAGUUAAUUUAGCUGUUUAUUAUGUAUAGAGAAAUGGUCCAUAUUUACUCUUAACAGUAUAUUAUAUUUUACAUAUAUGUACUAAUUGCCCCAUCUAUAUGUGGAUGCAUUGAUCUGAUCUAUUCCAAUGAUAUUAAUUUUCUAGUCUUAGGAAAUUUAGAUUUUAUUGACACUAUGAAUUUGGCACUGAUGAUGGAGUCCAGAAGCAACAUGAGAAAGCCCCUGUUUUCCCUUUAGUAUCUAAGGAGGAGGAAACGGAUGAAGAAGAGUUGAGAGAGCUGGUUCUAGUUUUGUUAAAUUUGCAGAAGAUGGAUAUGAAAAGAAAGGAUCAAUUCAAGAGGACAUAUCUACCUACUAUAUGGAAAGUCAAAUGCAUAGUAUAUGUUUUUCCGAUAAUAAUUUUUUGAAAAAUAGUUUUUGCAUAAUCACGUUUCUUAGCAAUAACUUUUCUUCCAUUUUUCCCUUCAGGUUUCUCACUUUCUUGUGUGCUCUGCUAUUUUCAACUUUCUAGUUAUGCAAUUUGAUUGUGAACUGUAGGUUGGUUGCGAAAGGCAUUCAGCUUUCUGCCUUAUGCAGAAAUAUGUGGACUUGCGAGUUCUGGGAAUGAAGCUCCAAAUAAUCUCCGCUUUUGCUCUUGAUCAUGUGAAAGGCUUUGUUUAUAUUGAAGCAGGUAAACAGUGUGAUGUUAACGAGGCGCUUUUCCUAUUCUUCCUGAUAUUAUUUCUCUACAGUUUUUUGAUUGAUGAUUAUUAGUGAAUGGAUGCUUAUUGAUUUUCAUAAGUGUUCUGUGCUGGUUCUAUUUUGUAAGUCAAGGAACCAUUUGUGUGCAGGCUUGAAAAGGGCUCUGCAGUAUAUAUUUUCAUAAGUCACAGUGAAGCUGAUUCCAAGAAUAGACUUGCAAGCACUGGCUGUGAAAUUUGUAAUAAACUGUUUUUUCCUCAUAAACGCCUGUUUUAUUCCUUAUUGCUUGCUUAGAGAGAUAUUGAGUAGCUAAUUACAUAUGCUUUGGGAUUUCUAGCAUCCUUUGAAUGUAACUUUGCUGCUAAGAAUCCAUUGAUCUCUGUAAUAGGUAGACGAGUAUUGGAGCUCAAAGGUUAUUUCAGUAAUUGAAAGCCAUACAAUAUGCAAUAUUAAUAGGCUUAUAGUGCCAAUACAUUAUAAUAUUUGUAUUUGCAAUUUAAACUUCAUGGUUGUUGAUCUUAUCAGAUGUGUGUGUUUAUUUUUAAUACACAUUUAUAAGGUGGAGGAGUUGUUGCCAAGAAGGCUUCCGUCCCAUCACCAAGGCUAAUCCCCGCUCUACUGAGCUUCAUGAUUUUCGUCUUCUCAUCACAUACCGCAAGGAUUGUGAGACAAACCAGAUGGCUGAAGUUCUUGAUGCUAACAGUUGUGCCUUGUGCGGAUCUAUCAACCUUGCCAGGAUAGACGAGGGAUUGUUAAGCAAAUCUACAAAGUUGUCAUCUUUUUGUACGAUGAGAUGGCUGAGGAACAUAACCCGUAUGUCCGUGUUAAAGCUCCGAUGUGUGAAAGAAUUUCCCGUAGCCAUGGUUUAUUGUCUGGGAAGGAAAGUGAGGCCGGGCGGGCCAUCUUCAGGUUUUGCUGAAACCCCAUUGUCACCUAAGAAACCUUGCAGAGAGAGAUGGUUUCUCGUAGAGAUAAAGAUGGACUCUUCUCUGUUGGUCAAGCAGUCAGAAUACGUGUUGGUCCUUUGAAGUGAUAUAUCUGCCGUGUCUUGGCUUAGUGUUGACCCAGAGGCUGCAAAACCAUUUGAUCUACUUGGAGCAUAGGAUGGCUCAAGAGCUGCUCAGCUUAGUGCAAAACGUGUUAUAAGAAGGAUGAUAAAUCUUCAUGGGCAAUGUAGAACUUGUUACAUAUUAUGUAGCAUGCAUUUUUGACUGUUAGUGUUUAUUUCCCAUGGACUUGCAGUGGAUUCUUAUUAGAGCCUAAGGGUUUAUUCGUGAGGAAUCUAGGAAGACUUUAAUGGAUUUGAAGUUGAUGGAGAA
Ipomoea triloba (trilobed morning glory) is the source of this 4335-nucleotide RNA transcript. RefSeq lists it as uncharacterized. The record is from RefSeq and is a predicted model, not a curated record. NCBI's taxonomy places the organism in Eukaryota, Viridiplantae, Streptophyta, Magnoliopsida, Solanales, Convolvulaceae. The transcript has 16 exons.